GAUGAACGCUAGCGGCAGGCUUAACACAUGCAAGUCGAGGGGCAGCACGGGUAGCAAUACCUGGUGGCGACCGGCGCAAGGGUGCGUAACGCGUGAGCAGCAUGCCCUAUACAGGGGGAUAAUCCAGGGAAACUUGGUCUAAUAUCCCAUAGUAUUUAGAGGAGGCAUCUUCUAUAAAUUAAAGCUUCGGUGGUAUAGGAUUGGCUCGCGUGACAUUAGCUAGAUGGUGAGGUAACGGCUCACCAUGGCAAUGAUGUCUAGGGGUUCUGAGAGGAAGGCCCCCCACACUGGGACUGAGACACGGCCCAGACUCCUACGGGAGGCAGCAGUGAGGAAUAUUGGACAAUGGAUGGAAAUCUGAUCCAGCCAUGCCGCGUGCAGGAAGACAGCCCUAUGGGUUGUAAACUGCUUUUAUAUGGGAGCAAUAAGGUCUACGUGUAGACUGAUGAGAGUACCAUAUGAAUAAG
Molecule: ribosomal RNA, 467 nt
Filed under: uncultured bacterium
Lineage: Bacteria
Description: bacterial SSU rRNA
Rfam family: Bacterial small subunit ribosomal RNA
Source: RNAcentral